This 224-nucleotide long non-coding RNA is filed under the name Lathyrus oleraceus (garden pea). Its description in RNAcentral is "Pisum sativum (pea) long non-coding RNA (PSAT_LNC030673)". The record is from RNAcentral. Lineage: Eukaryota; Viridiplantae; Streptophyta; Magnoliopsida; Fabales; Fabaceae.
AAAAAAUGGAUAACAAAGGGUUUUGAACUCGGCAGUCAUGUUGUGUGAUUUUUCUUUCUCUUUUUCUCGUGCAUCACGUAUACUCUGGGGGUUAAUUUCACUCUUUUGACUCUUUUUCUACUCAAAUUUUUCGAGCAUUUUAUAGGUGUUAGAGUCUUAAAUCUCGGCAAAUGCAUUUUUUUCUCUUUUGUUUUUCUUUUUUUUUCUUUUUUUUCUUUUUGGAC